Molecule: small nuclear RNA, 128 nt
Filed under: Dasypus novemcinctus (nine-banded armadillo)
Lineage: Eukaryota; Metazoa; Chordata; Mammalia; Cingulata; Dasypodidae
Description: U5 spliceosomal RNA (ENSDNOG00000029525.1)
Rfam family: U5 spliceosomal RNA (bases 1-105)
About the family: U5 RNA is a component of both types of known spliceosome. The precise function of this molecule is unknown, though it is known that the 5' loop is required for splice site selection and p220 binding, and that both the 3' stem-loop and the Sm site are important for Sm protein binding and cap methylation.
Source: RNAcentral
AUACUCUGGUUUCUCUUCAAAUCGUAUAAAUCUUUUGACUUUUACUAAAGAUUUCUGUGGAGAGGCCUCGCUUUGGCAGGUCUAAUAAAAAUAUAUAAAUAGCAUGCCCUCCCCCCACCAAAGGGAAA